This 145-nucleotide ribosomal RNA is filed under the name uncultured eukaryote. Its description in RNAcentral is "partial small subunit ribosomal RNA". The record is from RNAcentral.
GUACACACCGCCCGUCAYACCAUGGGAGUUGGCUUUACCCGAAGGUGGUGCGCUAACCCGCAAGGGAGGCAGCCAACCACGGUAGGGUCAGCGACUGGGGYKAAGUCGUAACAAGGUAGCAGUAGGUGAACCUGCAGAAGGAUCA